This 240-nucleotide ribosomal RNA is filed under the name Escherichia coli. RNAcentral's name for it is "partial 16S ribosomal RNA". It matches the Rfam family "Bacterial small subunit ribosomal RNA", at positions 1 to 235 of the family's 1533-position model. The record is from RNAcentral. Lineage: Bacteria; Pseudomonadati; Pseudomonadota; Gammaproteobacteria; Enterobacterales; Enterobacteriaceae.
UUAAAUUGAAGAGUUUGAUCAUGGCUCAGAUUGAACGCUGGCGGCAGGCCUAACACAUGCAAGUCGAACGGUAACAGGAAGCAGCUUGCUGCUUUGCUGACGAGUGGCGGACGGGUGAGUAAUGUCUGGGAAACUGCCUGAUGGAGGGGGAUAACUACUGGAAACGGUAGCUAAUACCGCAUAACGUCGCAAGACCAAAGAGGGGGACCUUAGGGCCUCUUGCCAUCGGAUGUGCCCAGA